UACACAUAUAGAAGUUGUGUUAAAGCACUACCUCAGCUUCCCGAAUCUAUGAAGCAUAGUCAAGCGGAUUUGUAUCUAGAAACAUAUCAGGUUUUGGACUUAGAAAUGAGUCGUUUACGCGAAAUUCAGAGAUGGCAAUCGUCGGCUUCAGCUAAAUUAGCUGCUGACAUGCAGCGGUUUUCCAGACCUGAACGACGCAUCAAUGGCCCCACAGUCACACAUCUUUGGUCGAUGCUAAAGUUGCUUGACGUCUUGGUUCAGCUGGAUCAUCUUAAAAAUGCUAAAGCUAGCAUUCCUAAUGAUUUCUCUUGGUACAAGAG
Camelina sativa (false flax) is the source of this 320-nucleotide non-coding RNA. The record is from RefSeq and is a predicted model, not a curated record. NCBI's taxonomy places the organism in Eukaryota, Viridiplantae, Streptophyta, Magnoliopsida, Brassicales, Brassicaceae.